UUGGAAACUGGAAUGAAUGGCUAGACGAGAGAAAUAGUGUCUCAAUGAAAAUUAAUGAAUUUUAUUUUUAAGUGAAAAAGCUUAAAUGAUUUUAAAAGACGAGAAGACCCUAUAGAGUUUAACAUUAAGUUUAUAAUAAAUAAUUGGUAUUUUUUGUUAUUAUAUUGAUUUUUGUUUAGCUGGGGUGGCUUUAAAAUUGAUUUAACUUUUAUUAAUAAAAACACUUAUUUGUGAUUAUUUGAUCCAUAUUUUUGAUUAAAAGAUUUAAUUACCUUAGGGAUAACAGCG
This 288-nucleotide ribosomal RNA is filed under the name Dermestes maculatus (common hide beetle). Its description in RNAcentral is "partial 16S ribosomal RNA". The record is from RNAcentral. Lineage: Eukaryota; Metazoa; Arthropoda; Insecta; Coleoptera; Dermestidae.